GACGAACGCUGGCGGCGUGCUUAACACAUGCAAGUCGAACGGAAAGGCCCUGCUUGCAGGGUACUCGAGUGGCGAACGGGUGAGUAACACGUGGGUGACCUGCCCUGCACUUCGGGAUAAGCCUGGGAAACUGGGUCUAAUACCGGAUAGGAGCCAUUUUUAGUGUGAUGGUUGGAAAGUUUUUUCGGUGUAGGAUGAGCUCGCGGCCUAUCAGCUUGUUGGUGGGGUAAUGGCCUACCAAGGCGGCGACGGGUAGCCGGCCUGAGAGGGUGGACGGCCACAUUGGGACUGAGAUACGGCCCAGACUCCUACGGGAGGCAGCAGUGGGGAAUAUUGCACAAUGGGCGCAAGCCUGAUGCAGCGACGCCGCGGGGGGGAUGACGGCCUUCGGGUUGUAAACUCCUUUCGCUAGGGACGAAGCUUUUUGUGACGGUACCUAGAUAAGAAGCACCGGCUAACUACGUG
This 465-nucleotide ribosomal RNA is filed under the name uncultured bacterium. RNAcentral's name for it is "partial 16S ribosomal RNA". It matches the Rfam family "Bacterial small subunit ribosomal RNA", at positions 28 to 507 of the family's 1533-position model. The record is from RNAcentral.